RNAcentral lists this ribosomal RNA (405 nucleotides) under uncultured bacterium. RNAcentral's name for it is "bacterial SSU rRNA". It matches the Rfam family "Bacterial small subunit ribosomal RNA", at positions 29 to 417 of the family's 1533-position model. The record is from RNAcentral.
AAUCAACGCUGGCGGCGUGCCUAACACAUGCAAGUCGAACGCGAAAGUCCCGCAAGGGAUUAGUAGAGUGGCAAACGGGUGAGUAACACGUGGGUGACCUGCCUUCGAGUGGGGGAUAACGUCCCGAAGGGACGCUAAUACCGCAUAACAUCCUGCCUUUGAAGAGGUGGAGAUCAAAGACUGGGGACCGCAAGGCCUGGCGCUGGAAGAGGGGCCCGCGUCUGGUUAGCUAGUUGGUGAGGUAACGGCUCACCAAGGCAACGAUCAGUAUCCGGCCUGAGAGGGCGGACGGACGACACUGGGACUGAGACACGGCCCAGACUCCUACGGGAGGCAGGCAGUGGGGAAUUGUUCGCAAUAGGGCGCAAGCCUGACGACGCAACGCCGCGUGGAGGAUGAAGACCU